This 495-nucleotide ribosomal RNA is filed under the name Salmonella enterica subsp. enterica serovar Agona. RNAcentral's name for it is "partial 23S ribosomal RNA". It matches the Rfam family "Bacterial large subunit ribosomal RNA", at positions 1262 to 1757 of the family's 2925-position model. Lineage: Bacteria; Pseudomonadati; Pseudomonadota; Gammaproteobacteria; Enterobacterales; Enterobacteriaceae. The record is from RNAcentral. RNAcentral also lists the same sequence under 2 other names.
UGUGAGGGUUGCUGGAGGUAUCAGAAGUGCGAAUGCUGACAUAAGUAACGAUAAAGCGGGUGAAAAGCCCGCUCGCCGGAAGACCAAGGGUUCCUGUCCAACGUUAAUCGGGGCAGGGUGAGUCGACCCCUAAGGCGAGGCCGAAAGGCGUAGUCGAUGGGAAACGGGUUAAUAUUCCCGUACUUGGUGUUACUGCGAAGGGGGGACGGAGAAGGCUAUGUUGGCCGGGCGACGGUUGUCCCGGUUUAAGCGUGUAGGUGUGUGUUCCAGGUAAAUCCGGUUCACUUUAACACUGAGGCGUGAUGACGAGGCACUACGGUGCUGAAGCAACAAAUGCCCUGCUUCCAGGAAAAGCCUCUAAGCAUCAGGUAACAUCAAAUCGUACCCCAAACCGACACAGGUGGUCAGGUAGAGAAUACCAAGGCGCUUGAGAGAACUCGGGUGAAGGAACUAGGCAAAAUGGUGCCGUAACUUCGGGAGAAGGCACGCUGACAC